AAAUUGAAGAGUUUGAUCAUGGCUCAGAUUGAACGCUGGCGGCAGGCCUAACACAUGCAAGUCGAACGGUAACAGGAAGCAGCUUGCUGUUUCGCUGACGAGUGGCGGACGGGUGAGUAAUGUCUGGGAAACUGCCUGAUGGAGGGGGAUAACUACUGGAAACGGUGGCUAAUACCGCAUAACGUCGCAA
This 190-nucleotide ribosomal RNA is filed under the name Salmonella enterica. Its description in RNAcentral is "partial 16S ribosomal RNA". It matches the Rfam family "Bacterial small subunit ribosomal RNA", at positions 1 to 184 of the family's 1533-position model. Lineage: Bacteria; Pseudomonadati; Pseudomonadota; Gammaproteobacteria; Enterobacterales; Enterobacteriaceae. The record is from RNAcentral. RNAcentral also lists the same sequence under 1 other name.